GCUGGCGGCGUGCCUAAUACAUGCAAGUCGAACGAGUCCUGAUUAUUGAAAGGUGCUUGCAUCUUGAUUUAAUUUUGAACGAGUGGCGGACGGGUGAGUAACACGUGGGUAACCUGCCCUUAAGUGGGGGAUAACAUUUGGAAACAGAUGCUAAUACCGCAUAAAUCCAAAAACCGCAUGGUUCUUGGCUGAAAGAUGGCGUAAGCUAUCGCUUUUGGAUGGACCCGCGGCGUAUUAGCUAGUUGGUGAGGUAACGGCUCACCAAGGCAAUGAUACGUAGCCGAACUGAGAGGUUGAUCGGCCACAUUGGGACUGAGACACGGCCCAAACUCCUACGGGAGGCAGCAGUAGGGAAUCUUCCACAAUGGACGCAAGUCUGAUGGAGCAACGCCGCGUGAGUGAAGAAGGCUUUCGGGUCGUAAAACUCUGUUGUUGGAGAAGAAUGGUCGGCAGAGUAACUGUUGUCGGCGUGACGGUAUCCAACCAGAAAGCCACGGCUAACUACGUGCCAGCAGCCGCGGUAAUACGUAGGUGGCAAGCGUUAUCCGGAUUUAUUGGGCGUAAAGCGAGCGCAGGCGGUUUUUUAAGUCUGAUGUGAAAGCCCUCGGCUUAACCGAGGAAGUGCAUCGGAAACUGGGAAACUUGAGUGCAGAAGAGGACAGUGGAACUCCAUGUGUAGCGGUGAAAUGCGUAGAUAUAUGGAAGAACACCAGUGGCGAAGGCGGCUGUCUGGUCUGUAACUGACGCUGAGGCUCGAAAGCAUGGGUAGCGAACAGGAUUAGAUACCCUGGUAGUCCAUGCCGUAAACGAUGAAUGCUAGGUGUUGGAGGGUUUCCGCCCUUCAGUGCCGCAGCUAACGCAUUAAGCAUUCCGCCUGGGGAGUACGACCGCAAGGUUGAAACUCAAAGGAAUUGACGGGGGCCCGCACAAGCGGUGGAGCAUGUGGUUUAAUUCGAAGCAACGCGAAGAACCUUACCAGGUCUUGACAUCUUUUGAUUACCUGAGAGAUCAGGUUUCCCCUUCGGGGGCAAAAUGACAGGUGGUGCAUGGUUGUCGUCAGCUCGUGUCGUGAGAUGUUGGGUUAAGUCCCGCAACGAGCGCAACCCUUAUGACUAGUUGCCAGCAUUUAGUUGGGCACUCUAGUAAGACUGCCGGUGACAAACCGGAGGAAGGUGGGGAUGACGUCAAAUCAUCAUGCCCCUUAUGACCUGGGCUACACACGUGCUACAAUGGAUGGUACAACGAGUUGCGAGACCGCGAGGUCAAGCUAAUCUCUUAAAGCCAUUCUCAGUUCGGACUGUAGGCUGCAACUCGCCUACACGAAGUCGGAAUCGCUAGUAAUCGCGGAUCAGCACGCCGCGGUGAAUACGUUCCCGGGCCUUGUACACACCGCCCGUCACACCAUGAGAGUUUGUAACACCCGAAGCCGGUGGCGUAACCCUUUUAGGGAGCGAGCCGUCUAAGGUGGGACAAAUGAUUAGGGUG
Molecule: ribosomal RNA, 1485 nt
Filed under: uncultured organism
Description: SSU rRNA
Rfam family: Bacterial small subunit ribosomal RNA
Source: RNAcentral